This 497-nucleotide ribosomal RNA is filed under the name uncultured bacterium. RNAcentral describes it as "partial 16S ribosomal RNA". It matches the Rfam family "Bacterial small subunit ribosomal RNA", at positions 28 to 507 of the family's 1533-position model. The record is from RNAcentral.
GAUGAACGCUGGCGGCGUGCCUAAUACAUGCAAGUCGAGCGAACGGACGAGAAGCUUGCUUUUCUGAUGUUAGCGGCGGACGGGUGAGUAACACGUGGAUAACCUACCUAUAAGACUGGGAUAACUUCGGGAAACCGGAGCUAAUACCGGAUAAUAUUUUGAACCGCAUGGUUCAAAAGUGAAAGACGGUCUUGCUGUCACUUAUAGAUGGAUCCGCGCUGCAUUAGCUAGUUGGUAAGGUAACGGCCUACCAAGGCAACGAUGCAUAGCCGACCUGAGAGGGUGAUCGGCCACACUGGAACUGAGACACGGUCCAGACUCCUACGGGAGGCAGCAGUAGGGAGUCUUCCGCAAUGGGCGAAAGCCUGACGGAGCAACGCCGCGUGAGUGAUGAAGGUCUUCGGAUCGUAAAACUCUGUUAUUAGGGAAGAACAUAUGUGUAAGUAACUGUGCACAUCUUGACGGUACCUAAUCAGAAAGCCACGGCUAACUACGUG